This 519-nucleotide long non-coding RNA is filed under the name Androctonus crassicauda. Lineage: Eukaryota; Metazoa; Arthropoda; Arachnida; Scorpiones; Buthidae. The record is from RNAcentral.
ACUUAGAUGUUUUACAAUUAUGUUUUCGUUUCUUGUUAUGAACUAUUGUGCAACAUGGAAAAUAAAUGCUCUACCAAAUUUUGUUUUCUUACCUGUUACUAACAAUUACAAAGAGGUUCUCCAAUUUCUUUCGGAUUUUACAAGGGGUUUGCAAGGAGAAAAAGGUUGGGAACCACUGGUCUAUACAAUUGCUUAUUUUUUACAUUUACUAUAUUUAAAUAUCUGGAUCAAUAGAUAUAUCCCCUAGAAAAAGUUUGGGACCCUCCUAUUUUGGCUUUGUAAUUUUCUAAGAGUUCUAUUAUCUCUAGUGAUUAGAUGAUUUUUGAGAUUUUUGGGGAAUGAUUGAGGGGCUAGUUAUUCACUCGUAUCCUAUGAUACACUCUCCUGUAUAUCAUAGACGUCAUUGUUACUCUGAACUGCUGAAUGGAUUAGAAACAAGUUUGUUUUGGCUUUGCUUACAAUAAACAUCAUAAAUCUGUUUGUCACAUGACAACAUCUACAACAAUAGAAAUAUUUAAA